RNAcentral lists this ribosomal RNA (253 nucleotides) under uncultured bacterium. RNAcentral's name for it is "partial 16S ribosomal RNA". It matches the Rfam family "Bacterial small subunit ribosomal RNA", at positions 524 to 776 of the family's 1533-position model. The record is from RNAcentral.
GACGUAGGGUGCGAGCGUUGUCCGGAUUUAUUGGGCGUAAAGAGCGUGUAGGCGGCUUGGUAGGUCCGCUGUGAAAACUCGAAGCUCAACCUCGAGAUGUCGGCGGAAACCACUUGGCUAGAGUCCGGAAGAGGAGAGUGGAAUUCCUGGUGUAGCGGUGAAAUGCGCAGAUAUCAGGAAGAACACCUAUGGCGAAGGCAGCUCUCUGGGACGGUACUGACGCUGAGACGCGAAAGCGUGGGGAGCGAACAGG